UGCUGUUCAUGGGAGCCACUUUGUUAUCCUCCUUCUGCCUGCUGUCAAGUUAAUACUGUAUGGUUCAUAGCCUUUGGGACAUUUUGUCAGUCUCUCUAAGAUCUUAAUCUUGAUUGGGGGAAAGAUAUUUGUCUUAUUUGGAGAAAAUGUUGAAAGUCAUCAUGUACCAGCUGGCUAAAUCAGAAAAAGCCCUGCUCUAAGCUUACUCUAUAUACACCACCUUAAUAAUUUUUGUACCACCUUCAGGAGGAGUGCGAGUUGUCAGUGUGUACACAGGGAUUUUGAAGUUUUCAGGCCACUAGCUCUCCUGCUCUGCAGGCCCAUCUUGCCUCCUAGAAGUCAGCCAGUUCAGACCUGGUUUGUGUCUGAACAUGUAUCUUGUAUUCACCCGGACUCCUUCCAUGGCUCUCCUGCUCUACACAUCAACAUUGUUUGCCGGAUGGGCAUCUGUGGACGGAGUUGUGUGGAACCUUUCGAGUAUUUAUUAUUCAAAGGCCUUGUUCCCUAUGCUGUUUUAGUAAGGAGGGAGCAAAGGUGUGUGUUUGGUACAGGGAGAUGCAGAGCUGACACAGUGUCACUGACAGGGUGAGCUUCAAAAUCCCACAGUUGACUCCCCCCCUAUUAUUUGUUCCAGUCCAGGAAGGCAUAGAAUCAAUUAAGCAGCCAAGCAAGGAAAAGAGGGGUCUUUGGGAGGCUCCGGGCUUGGCCAGGCCUUGAGAAAACCAGGCCUACAGGAGGGCAGUCGGAGGGAGUGAGAAAGAUGGGAGGAGAAGAAAGAGGUGGCUACACAAAUAUGGAAGGUGGACAACAGAAGAGAUGAGGGAGGGGAGGAAAGAGAGAGAAGAAGAGGGAGGGCUAUUCAAAGAGGGGAGAGGAGAGGUGGGAUAUUCACUGGAUAUGCAUAAACAGGAGAUGAACAGGCAGGCGGGCACGAGAGCGAACAGCAGCAGCAGGUAAAGCUAUACAGGCUUGUCAGAAUCCAGCAGCUAGGCCAGUGAUUUAUGAGGAUCUCCAGUCAAGAUUUCCCUCCAAAUCCUCCAUCCAGCUGCCUUUUGUUCACAGCAGAACACCCCCUCCUGGUUGGCACACAUCUUGGUUUGGUCA
Molecule: long non-coding RNA, 1104 nt
Organism: Oreochromis niloticus (Nile tilapia)
Lineage: Eukaryota; Metazoa; Chordata; Actinopteri; Cichliformes; Cichlidae
Exons: 3
Source: RefSeq, a predicted model, not a curated record